Molecule: ribosomal RNA, 796 nt
Filed under: bacterium 161_xplvp465
Lineage: Bacteria
Also listed under: 1 other name
Description: bacterial SSU rRNA
Rfam family: Bacterial small subunit ribosomal RNA
Source: RNAcentral
UACACAUGCAAGUCGAACGAUGAAGCUGGAGCUUGCUCUGGUGGAUUAGUGGCGAACGGGUGAGUAACACGUGAGUAACCUGCCCUUGACUCUGGGAUAAGCGUUGGAAACGACGUCUAAUACCGGAUACGAGCUUCAGCCGCAUGGCUAGGAGUUGGAAAGAAUUUCGGUCAAGGAUGGACUCGCGGCCUAUCAGCUAGUUGGUGAGGUAAUGGCUCACCAAGGCGACGACGGGUAGCCGGCCUGAGAGGGUGACCGGCCACACUGGGACUGAGACACGGCCCAGACUCCUACGGGAGGCAGCAGUGGGGAAUAUUGCACAAUGGGCGCAAGCCUGAUGCAGCAACGCCGCGUGAGGGACGACGGCCUUCGGGUUGUAAACCUCUUUUAGCAGGGAAGAAGCGAAAGUGACGGUACCUGCAGAAAAAGCACCGGCUAACUACGUGCCAGCAGCCGCGGUAAUACGUAGGGUGCAAGCGUUGUCCGGAAUUAUUGGGCGUAAAGAGCUCGUAGGCGGUUUGUCGCGUCUGCUGUGAAAACGCGAGGCUCAACCUCGCGCCUGCAGUGGGUACGGGCAAACUAGAGUGCGGUAGGGGAGAUUGGAAUUCCUGGUGUAGCGGUGGAAUGCGCAGAUAUCAGGAGGAACACCGAUGGCGAAGGCAGAUCUCUGGGCCGUAACUGACGCUGAGGAGCGAAAGCGUGGGGAGCGAACAGGAUUAGAUACCCUGGUAGUCCACGCCGUAAACGUUGGGAACUAGAUGUAGGGACCAUUCCACGGUUUCUGUGUCGCAGCUAA